UGGGGUAUAGCCAAGCGGUAAGGCAACGGACUUUGACUCCGUCAUUCCCAGGUUCAAAUCCUGGUACCCCAGCCA
RNAcentral lists this transfer RNA (75 nucleotides) under Brevibacillus laterosporus. Its description in RNAcentral is "tRNA-Gln". It matches the Rfam family "tRNA". Rfam says of the family: Transfer RNA (tRNA) molecules are approximately 80 nucleotides in length. Their secondary structure includes four short double-helical elements and three loops (D, anti-codon, and T loops). RNAcentral also lists the same sequence under 11 other names. The record is from RNAcentral. Lineage: Bacteria; Bacillati; Bacillota; Bacilli; Caryophanales; Paenibacillaceae.